Molecule: transfer RNA, 73 nt
Filed under: Planctomycetaceae bacterium
Lineage: Bacteria; Pseudomonadati; Planctomycetota; Planctomycetia; Planctomycetales; Planctomycetaceae
Also listed under: 2 other names
Description: tRNA-Ala
Rfam family: tRNA
About the family: Transfer RNA (tRNA) molecules are approximately 80 nucleotides in length. Their secondary structure includes four short double-helical elements and three loops (D, anti-codon, and T loops). Further hydrogen bonds mediate the characteristic L-shaped molecular structure. tRNAs have two regions of fundamental functional importance: the anti-codon, which is responsible for specific mRNA codon recognition, and the 3' end, to which the tRNAs corresponding amino acid is attached (by aminoacyl-tRNA synthetases). tRNAs cope with the degeneracy of the genetic code in two manners: having more than one tRNA (with a specific anti-codon) for a particular amino acid; and 'wobble' base-pairing, i.e. permitting non-standard base-pairing at the 3rd anti-codon position.
Source: RNAcentral
GGGGCCGUAGCUCAGUUGGGAGAGCGCCUGCUUUGCAAGCAGGAGGUCGUCGGUUCGAUCCCGUCCGGCUCCA